This 191-nucleotide unclassified non-coding RNA is filed under the name plant metagenome. RNAcentral describes it as "partial contains small subunit ribosomal RNA and internal transcribed spacer 1". The record is from RNAcentral.
AAUCGAUUAAACAGGGUUUCCGGAGGUGAACCUGCGGAAGGAUCCAUUGAAAAGAUUAGGGGCUUCCGCCAAGUUCUCACCCUUUGUAUACCGAAACCAUGUUGCUUUGGCAGGCCCCUGCAUUUCUCGGGCCUGCCAGAGGUUAUAAACCCUAGAAUCUCUGCUGUCUGAGUACUAUACAAUAGUUAAAA